AUAAACCAGACGUAAGAGUUCUGUGCGGUCCAUUCUAGCAGUCCAUUCGAGUCAUGUCCGAAAACUGGGUGGUGAUGGACCAGACGCAAGAGUUUUCUACUGGCUGAAGGGAGACGAUUAGUUCCCCCCAUCCUCCAGUUUAACCAACAGCUCAACAGACGAGACGCUCUCCUCGCGUCCAUUCAGCAGAAGACCAUGAAGAAUCCAUCUCCUCUUACACGCAUCCUCAUCCCUCUCCUCCUCCUCCUCCUUCUCUUCUUGCUCUCUUCCUCUGCAUCACAAGCAGCACCGAGCUCUCUUUCAAGAGGAUCUUCUCUCUCCGUAGGGGAUGACUCGGAUGUCCUCCUCGUCUCCCCGAGCAAGUCUUUCUCAUGCGGCUUCUACAACGUCGGUUCUAAUGCCUAUGCCUUCUCGAUCUGGUUCUCCGACUUCGCCAAC
This 438-nucleotide long non-coding RNA is filed under the name Phoenix dactylifera (date palm). RNAcentral's name for it is "long non-coding RNA (PDAC_LNC015117)". Lineage: Eukaryota; Viridiplantae; Streptophyta; Magnoliopsida; Arecales; Arecaceae. The record is from RNAcentral.